GACGAACGCUGGCGGCGUGCUUAACACAUGCAAGUCGAACGGGAUGAUUUAGAAGCUUGCUUUUAGAGAAUCUAGUGGCAAACGGGUGAGUAACACGUAGACAACCUGCCGACAGGAUGGGGACAACAUUCCGAAAGGAAUGCUAAUACCGAAUGAAGUCAGAGAAGGGCAUCCUUUUCUGAUGAAAGAUGGCCUCUGAAUAUGCUAUCACCUGUCGAUGGGUCUGCGUCUGAUUAGCUGGUUGGUGAGGUAACGGCUCACCAAGGCGACGAUCAGUAGCCGGUCUGAGAGGAUGAACGGCCACAUUGGGACUGAGACACGGCCCAGACUCCUACGGGAGGCAGCAGUGGGGAAUCUUCCGCAAUGGGCGCAAGCCUGACGGAGCAACGCCGCGUGAGUGAAGAAGGUCUUCGGAUCGUAAAGCUCUGUUGAUGGGGACGAACGUGCGAAGGGUGAAUAAUCCUUUGUAAUGACGGACCUAUCGA
RNAcentral lists this ribosomal RNA (485 nucleotides) under Centipeda periodontii. RNAcentral's name for it is "bacterial SSU rRNA". It matches the Rfam family "Bacterial small subunit ribosomal RNA", at positions 28 to 485 of the family's 1533-position model. Lineage: Bacteria; Bacillati; Bacillota; Negativicutes; Selenomonadales; Selenomonadaceae. The record is from RNAcentral.